GCCGGGCACGGUGGCUCAUGCCUGUAAUCCCAGCACUUUGGGAGGCCGAGGCAGGUGGAUCACCUGAGGUCAGGAGUUCAAGACCAGCCUGACCAACAUGGAGAAACCCUGUCUCUA
This 117-nucleotide non-coding RNA is filed under the name Gorilla gorilla gorilla (western lowland gorilla). Lineage: Eukaryota; Metazoa; Chordata; Mammalia; Primates; Hominidae. The record is from Rfam by way of RNAcentral.